GCCAGUGUCAUGCUUUCCUUAUAUUUAAAAUGUAGAAUCCCUUAUGACCAUCUCCAAAGGACAAUAAACUGUUAAAAACUCCUUACCAACACAACAUGGCAAAAACAAUGACAUGCAAAGUGAUGUUUAUACAUGUGUGCCCCGGCAAGUCAAUGAUCUUUAAAACUAGCUAGAUCUUCAUUCUAGUGAUUCCCAUUAUCAAGCCGAUAAUCCAUUUACCUGUAUUCCCAACAGUUUUGGGAGAGUCCCAGAGUUUAGGCUCUCCCUGAGUCGUCAAACUUAAAAACUACAAGAUGCCUUGCCAGCCAUCCAGCCCAGAAGCUUUAAAUUGUCUUAUGUGAAUCCCUGGUAUUGUUUGCACACAAUAGAAAUAGAAGUUCCAUGAGACAACUUGAAUUUUAGUGAUAUUUUUCUUUUUAAAAUUUACUCAAUAGCAUGUGUCCAAAAUACUAUGUUUGCCAUUUGGGGUAUGAAAGAGUAUGAAAAUUGGAUUUUCCUUUUUUUGUUUUGUGUUGAAAUUUCACUAAGCCCCCUUUGCCCUAGAGAUAAUCUUAAAUGGCAACUGAGUUUUAAGAUGAAGUCCAAAACAUUAAAGUGAAAAAAAAAAUCCAAAUUAUAAUAAGUGGGUUUUAGUUACAUGUUUGGGAAAGGCAGUUUAAUCUCCUGUUUUUGGAUGGUGUUUAUAGAUUCUAUCAAUACAUUUCAAGGCAAGUAUUCCAUGAUCAAAGUAGUUUGGAAAACGCCCAUCUAGUCCAAGCCUCUCAUUUGAUAAGUGAUGAAACUGAGACCCAGGGAGAAUAGGUAGCUUAAUCAAAGCCACACAUAUCUAAUUAAGUGCAAAAUUGGGACUAGAUGUGAGAUUUCCUAACUCCUGCUCCAGUGCUUGCUGUCCUAUGCACCACACAGCUAUCAAUAUUCCAUUUCUCUAAGUCAGAUCUUUGUUGGAUUGCAGAGUGUUCCAAAAAACCUUUUGGAAAUUUCUGACUGCCUUAAUUGUUUAUGCAUAACUUAGAACUGUACGAUAUUUCUACUAAAAAUUUUUCCCAUUACAAAGCUAUUUCAGUUUCUCGGGGCAUGAGAACACAGAGCAAAAUGUGUCUAAGGUACUUAAAUUGUGCUUGUUCAUGAUUAUAUAAGACAGAAAUAGCUCUGAGAAUCUAUAUACACAUGUGUAUAUAUACACAUACAUACAAGUAUUUAGACAUAUAUAUGUAUUGCAUAUCUAAAUAUGCUUAAAUGUGUAUAUAUGGUACGUAUAUACAUAUAUAUAUUUAAAUAACCAAAUCUCAUUUUAGCCAAUAGUAUCAAUUUUCUCUUCUUCCAAACCUUUCACUAGAACUAUUGGCAGAUAAUAACAUGGACUUUUUCUCUCAUUUCCAUUUUUUCUUGCCCCACUCUCUGAUAGAAAAGGUUGAACAGUGAAAUGAACAAGAAAGAGAAAGACAGUUGAUGAAAAGGGGAAACAAAGGCAUUUCACCUGCUUUUAAUCAAAAAGCUGCCCAAUCUAUAGAAAAUAGAUUGCAUGUCAUGCUCUAUUUAAUUCAAUGCUUGUUAGAGUUACUAGUUUUGUCACUGUUAAAAGCAAAGUGACUUAAGUAUUAGAUCCUCUUCAGUGUAGUUAAUAUAGUUAGGAAUAUAACCAAUAGCAUGGAAAAAAACUACUUAAUCGUUUUCGGUCAUUACUUAAAUUUUUCGAUGAAACCAAAUAAACAAGAGAUGAUAUUGCCAACUGUAUCACUGGUGCUACAGCUAAUGCAUUCUGAUGCAUAUAUCAUUGGCUCUGUAUCACCCAGAAGAAGUAUAAAGAUACAGAUUUUUUUUCCCUAAUUGCCUGUGCUUCAGCUACUUUGAAGGUCAUGUUGUUCAGGUCCAUAUAUGUUAUAGUUGUUCGUUGAGUAAACAUCUGGAUGGGAAUAAUCAUUUCUAUCAAAUUGUUAGAAUUUUUUUGUUUUAUAAAAAAGUGAAAUUUGUUUUUAAUAUAUUCAUAUGUGUUAUGUAUGAUUUAAUGAGAAUGCCAUAAAAUUAAAUAGAACACCCAUGUGUGAUGCUUCCUGCUGAAUACAUUCUAUGAUUUCAAAUGCUCAGAAGAAUAUUAUUGGGGGUAUGGGGCUCGCUGUAUAUUUAUAUCAUUUGUUUUAUAAUUUGUCUCUACAGAUGCAAAUGAUUUUUUUUUUUUAGCUAUGACUAUGAAAUAAAAUUUUUCUUUUUAAGAA
This 2213-nucleotide long non-coding RNA is filed under the name Sarcophilus harrisii (Tasmanian devil). Its description in RNAcentral is "lncRNA (ENSSHAG00000029466.1)". The record is from RNAcentral. Lineage: Eukaryota; Metazoa; Chordata; Mammalia; Dasyuromorphia; Dasyuridae.